Saccostrea cuccullata (small rock oyster) is the source of this 423-nucleotide long non-coding RNA. RefSeq lists it as uncharacterized. The record is from RefSeq and is a predicted model, not a curated record. The transcript has 3 exons. Lineage: Eukaryota; Metazoa; Mollusca; Bivalvia; Ostreida; Ostreidae.
UAAGGCAAAGUUACACAAUUAACCAAUAAAAAGUGUACAUCCAAAAAUGCAAAAUUUAUGCAAUUUUGAUUUGAUACUUUGGAAAAGACCUAUAUAAAAACUUCAAACUAGUUCUUCAUCAUGAAAACUUAAUUAAAAUCCAGCAUCUGAAGCAAGGCCAAAGUUACUUGGAAAUGAAUCCUGCACCAAAAACUUUAACCUGUUCACUCGUCCAGAAAAUAAAAUUUAGGUCAGAUUCAGCAUCUGAAGCAAGUCUGGUAGUAUGCAUCCUUAGAUGUAUCAUCCAUGCAAGUUUGGUCACUAUAGUACUCAUAAUUACUUGGAAAUGAGACCUGCACUGAAAACAUAAACCUGUUCACUCAUGCGGAAAAUGUAGGUCAGAUUCAGCAUCCGAAGCAAGCCUGGUAGUGUGCAUCUUAAGAU